Molecule: long non-coding RNA, 1375 nt
Filed under: Struthio camelus australis
Lineage: Eukaryota; Metazoa; Chordata; Aves; Struthioniformes; Struthionidae
Description: lncRNA (ENSSCUG00000001812.1)
Source: RNAcentral
CGCGCAUGGAGAAGGAGCUGCUUGCUUCCAGCACCUGUGUUCACAAGCUUAAGCUGUACGGCAUGAACGUUUCCUUGGGAAAUGGGAAAACGAGUUUUCCAGUCCUCCUCCUGCUACUUGAGUCUGAAGCUGUCAAGGGUCACCUCGCGUCACCUUACACGACCGCAGUGCCGUGUACACGACCGCAGUGCCGUGCACCGCCGGAACGAGCGCCGCGCUCGCUUCCCGGGGCCGGAUGGCAAACGUGAGUCCCUCGGGAGGAAUUUGACUGAGCACCGGAGACACCGACUUCGGAGGCGCCCACCACUUGCAGUGGAGGAGGUGAGUGUCGCCGGCCUCCCUCGGAGCACAGCCACCGGGGGGGAAAAAGCAUAAGGUAACGCUUUUACCCCGCUUGUCCGUGUUACCAGAGUAUUUUAAUUGAAGUAUGACAAGCAAAGCCAAUUCAAAACAUUCGUCUGUGUGAGGGGUACAUCUGGCUGGCACGCUACAGGAUCGUGCGGGGAUACCCUAGCUAGCUCUCUCUGAGCUAGUUUGAGUCCUGCAAGUAAUGCAACCAGUCUCGCGUGGCACUCUGCCCAGACUAAUCUAUCUGUCUUUCCAAAGCCAGGAAGCCUGACGGGUCUGCUUUAUUCAGUGCCUCAGUUGUCGCUAACGAGCGCUGUGUAACCGGAGCCGCAGAACAGCACAACAAUCGAUUUAAAACGGCUCUUGCAAGAGCUCCUUGCAGUUGCGUUGUCGGCCCUGUUCGCAACGAUGCAAGACGAGAGUCCGCCUAGGUAGACCGACCGUCUGGCGUUAGCGCGCACGGCAACCGCACGAGCGCGACGCGAGGUAGGAAACGCAUCUCCGUGACGGAAAACGCGCGUCCUCGCGUCAGCUCCCGAGUGCCUUCAGAAACGCCAGGGUUGGUCCACCUGCGCACCCGCUAAAGGUUACAGGUAAGACAUCACGGCCUGGGGACAGUGCUCGACCUGUGCUUGAAAAAUCCCACCUGCGGUCCGGAAUGACCCUGUCUCAGCUAUAACCGCCUUUCAAAUUCUUCAGCGCGCCGUUAAGUCAGGCCUUCGGUGAGAGGGCAGCAGAGAUGCUAAGUUUUGUUGUCUGGCCCUGGCUCUUUGCUUUGACGUUAUGAUCUGCUUUUUCCCUUCUUCUGUCUGUUUAACCUGUUUGAUUUUUUUUUCAAAGCUUUCGGCCAUCUCCUCAAGUUAUUUUUCUUUCUAGGCAUUACUACGUUUUUAUUUUGAAGUGUUACGGACACGCGUGAUGCAGGCAAACUGAUAUCUAAUGCUACACUAAAGCAGAUAGACAGACAGACAGAUAGAUACAGAGGAAUCCCAGCUUCCCAGUAUCAUCAUAUUUAUUAGACGUAUCC